Molecule: ribosomal RNA, 492 nt
Filed under: uncultured bacterium
Lineage: Bacteria
Description: partial 16S ribosomal RNA
Rfam family: Bacterial small subunit ribosomal RNA
Source: RNAcentral
AGUGAACGCUGGCGGUAGGCCUAACACAUGCAAGUCGAACGGCAGCACAGUAAGAGCUUGCUCUUACGGGUGGCGAGUGGCGGACGGGUGAGGAAUACAUCGGAAUCUACUUUUUCGUGGGGGAUAACGUAGGGAAACUUACGCUAAUACCGCAUACGACCUACGGGUGAAAGCAGGGGAUCUUCGGACCUUGCGCGAAUGAAUGAGCCGAUGUCGGAUUAGCUCGUUGGCGGGGUAAAGGCCCACCAAGGCGACGAUCCGUAGCUGGUCUGAGAGGAUGAUCAGCCACACUGGAACUGAGACACGGUCCAGACUCCUACGGGAGGCAGCAGUGGGGAAUAUUGGACAAUGGGCGCAAGCCUGAUCCAGCCAUACCGCGUGGGUGAAGAAGGCCUUCGGGUUGUAAAGCCCUUUUGUUGGGAAAGAAAAGCAGCAGGUUAAUACCCCGCUGUUCUGACGGUACCCAAAGAAUAAGCACCGGCUAACUUCGUG